RNAcentral lists this ribosomal RNA (465 nucleotides) under uncultured bacterium. RNAcentral's name for it is "partial 16S ribosomal RNA". It matches the Rfam family "Bacterial small subunit ribosomal RNA", at positions 28 to 507 of the family's 1533-position model. The record is from RNAcentral.
GACGAACGCUGGCGGCGUGCUUAACACAUGCAAGUCGUACGGUAAGGCCCUUUCGGGGGUACACGAGUGGCGAACGGGUGAGUAACACGUGAGUAACCUACCCACAACUUUGGGAUAACGCUAGGAAACUGGUGCUAAUACUGGAUAUGUGCUCCUGCUGCAUGGUGGGGGUUGGAAAGCUCCGGCGGUUGUGGAUGGACUCGCGGCCUAUCAGCUUGUUGGUGGGGUAGUGGCCUACCAAGGCGGCGACGGGUAGCCGGCCUGAGAGGGUGACCGGCCACAUUGGGACUGAGAUACGGCCCAGACUCCUACGGGAGGCAGCAGUGGGGAAUAUUGCACAAUGGGCGCAAGCCUGAUGCAGCAACGCCGCGUGCGGGAUGACGGCCUUCGGGUUGGAAACCGCUUUCAGCAGGGACGAAGCUUUUUGUGACGGUACCUGCAGAAGAAGCACCGGCUAACUACGUG